RNAcentral lists this ribosomal RNA (500 nucleotides) under uncultured bacterium. RNAcentral's name for it is "partial 16S ribosomal RNA". It matches the Rfam family "Bacterial small subunit ribosomal RNA", at positions 29 to 523 of the family's 1533-position model. The record is from RNAcentral.
AAUGAACGCUGGCGGAAUGCUUUACACAUGCAAGUCGAACGGCAGCACGGACUUCGGUCUGGUGGCGAGUGGCGAACGGGUGAGUAAUGUAUCGGAACGUGCCCAGUCGUGGGGGAUAACGUAGUGAAAAUUACGCUAAUACCGCAUACGAUCUAUGGAUGAAAGCGGGGGAUCGCAAGACCUCGCGCGAUUGGAGCGGCCGAUAUCAGAUUAGGUAGUUGGUGGGGUAAAGGCCCACCAAGCCAACGAUCUGUAGCUGGUCUGAGAGGACGACCAGCCACACGGGAACUGAGACACGGUCCAGACUCCUACGGGAGGCAGCAGUUGGGAAUUUUGGACAAUGGGCGAAAGCCUGAUCCAGCCAUUCCGCGUGCAGGAUGAAGGCCCUCGGGUUGUAAACUGCUUUUGUACAGAACGAAAAGGUUUCUACUAAUACUAGGAGCUCAUGACGGUACUGUAAGAAUGAGCACCGGCUAACUACGUGCCAGCCGCCGCGGUAA